RNAcentral lists this ribosomal RNA (312 nucleotides) under Epicadus heterogaster. RNAcentral describes it as "partial 12S ribosomal RNA". The record is from RNAcentral. Lineage: Eukaryota; Metazoa; Arthropoda; Arachnida; Araneae; Thomisidae.
AGGUAGUAAAAUUUCUCAUAAACCUAUAUAUAAUGGCAGCAUUUAUAAAAAUUAGAGAAAUCUGUCUUUUAAUCGAUAUUCCACGAUACUUUUUACUUUAAAUAAAAACUUUUAUACCGCCGUCUUAAGAAUUAAAUUUUUAAAUUUAUUCAAAAUAAUAUCUAAAAAGUCAGGUCAAGGUGCAGUCUAAUUUAAAGAUUAGAUAGAUUACAUUAAAUAUAUUUAAGGAUUUUAUUUUUUAAAAAAUAGAUAAAAAAGAAUCUAAUUGUAAUGAAAUAAUAAUAUUUUUUCAUAAAUUUUCUUUAACUGUGC